AAACUGAAGAGUUUGAUCCUGGCUCAGAUUGAACGCUGGCGGUAUGCUUAACACAUGCAAGUCGAACGGUAACAGGACGCUAGGAACCCUUCGGGGUGACUUUGUCGCUGACGAGUGGCGGACGGGUGAGUAACGCGUAGGAAUCUGCCUAGUAGUGGGGGACAACUUGGGGAAACUCAAGCUAAUACCGCAUACGCCCUACGGGGGAAAGCGGGGGAUCUUCGGACCUCGCGCUAUUAGAUGAGCCUGCGUUAGAUUAGCUUGUUGG
This 268-nucleotide ribosomal RNA is filed under the name Gammaproteobacteria bacterium. Its description in RNAcentral is "partial 16S ribosomal RNA". It matches the Rfam family "Bacterial small subunit ribosomal RNA", at positions 1 to 252 of the family's 1533-position model. The record is from RNAcentral. Lineage: Bacteria; Pseudomonadati; Pseudomonadota; Gammaproteobacteria.